This 332-nucleotide long non-coding RNA is filed under the name Ananas comosus (pineapple). RNAcentral describes it as "long non-coding RNA (ACOM_LNC038708)". The record is from RNAcentral. Lineage: Eukaryota; Viridiplantae; Streptophyta; Magnoliopsida; Poales; Bromeliaceae.
AAGGAUCACCAUAGAAACAUGAAUCUACUCUUCAUGUGUGGCGUCGUUGAUUCGGCGUGAUCAAGGCAGUUCGUGGAUUCGGAUCGUGGGUGCUUGAGAAUUCGAGUGGCGUCCGUGGACUCGGACGUGGGCAUGACGUUUGUGGAUAUAUUCGAUCGUAGGGCGUGGACAACCUGGUGACGUGUGCGAGAUCCAUAAGUUGUUAAAAGAGGUUGAGUCCGUGGAGUUAGUAAUCACCUUAUAAUCUUUUCUCUUAGUAAAUUAUUUUUUCGCGUGUUGGUCUCGUAGGCUUAUUUCUGAAUUAGAGUUUUUUCACGUAAAUCUCGGUAUGC